Molecule: ribosomal RNA, 372 nt
Filed under: Triticum aestivum (bread wheat)
Lineage: Eukaryota; Viridiplantae; Streptophyta; Magnoliopsida; Poales; Poaceae
Description: partial small subunit ribosomal RNA
Source: RNAcentral
AUGGCUAACCGGCCCACUCGCCCGUUGGCCAACUCAAGACCUCCGCGAGUUCCGGCGACAGGAACGAGUUGGAGAGAAGGAACACAAGCCGUCGUGAUUUGCAUCGCACACGCCGCGGUUACCUCCGUUCAUCUCGCUCAGGUCACAUGGGAGGCAGAGGGUCAAGCACCGGAGCAAACCUGUCGUCCAUUGUGCCAACAUGCCCUUGUGAGGGCUGUGCCGUUCGCCGUCAUGUGGGCGGCAGGCAGGCAGCGCCCAUUCCGCCCUGCCCCAAUCCCAUCCCCCCGCCCGCCCCCUCCCCUCCCCGUGAUACUGUGCACUGCACAGGGACAGAUUCCUGGAGUAAAACACGCCGUGACGACAGACGAGUAA